Molecule: small RNA, 744 nt
Filed under: Pan troglodytes (chimpanzee)
Lineage: Eukaryota; Metazoa; Chordata; Mammalia; Primates; Hominidae
Description: retained intron
Source: RNAcentral
CGAUUCCCAUGGCCGCAGCCGCCUGCGGCACCAAAGCCAUGGCCCUCUUCAAGCGCACCUUGGUGCUGAGUCCCGCCGCGGCGCCCAGGGGCCCGGGCGCAGGCACCGCCCCGCGGGGCUGCUGCUUGCCUCCUGCCGCCUGGCCCUGCAAGGACUGGUCUCGGGGAGAGGGCGGCAGGCUGUGGAGCCGCCUGCCGCAGUCCCACUCCCACUCCUGCUCCUCGACGUCUCCCACCGCCGUGUGUGUUGUCUGCCCGCAGGACUCGCUCAGCAGCAGCCUGAAAACUUGCUACAAAUAUCUCAAUCAGACCAGUCGCAGUUUCGCAGCUGUUAUCCAGGCGCUGGAUGGGGAAAUGCGCAACGCAGUUUGCAUAUUUUAUCUGGUUCUCCGAGCUCUGGACACACUGGAAGAUGACAUGACCAUCAGUGUGGAAAAGAAGGUCCCGCUGUUACACAACUUUCACUCUUUCCUUUACCAACCAGACUGGCGGUUCAUGGAGAGCAAGGAGAAGGAUCGCCAGGUGCUGGAGGACUUCCCAACGAUCUCCCUUGAGUUUAGAAAUCUGGCUGAGAAAUACCAAACAGUGAUUGCCGACAUUUGCCGGAGAAUGGGCAUUGGGAUGGCAGAGUUUUUGGAUAAGCAUGUGACCUCUGAACAGGAGUGGGACAAGUACUGCCACUAUGUUGCUGGGCUGGUCGGAAUUGGCCUUUCCCGUCUCUUCUCAGCCUCAGAGUUUGAAGACC